AUUGAACGCUGGCGGCAGGCUUAACACAUGCAAGUCGAGCGGAGUGAUGGUGCUUGCACUAUCACUUAGCGGCGGACGGGUGAGUAAUGCUUAGGAAUCUGCCUAUUAGUGGGGGACAACAUCUCGAAAGGGAUGCUAAUACCGCAUACGUCCUACGGGAGAAAGCAGGGGAUCACUUGUGACCUUGCGCUAAUAGAUGAGCCUAAGUCGGAUUAGCUAGUUGGUGGGGUAAAGGCCUACCAAGGCGACGAUCUGUAGCGGGUCUGGGAGGAUGAUACGCCACACUGGGACUGAGACACGGGCCAGAGUCCUACGGGAGGCAGCAGUGGGGAAUAUUGGACAAUGGGGGGAACCCUGAUCCAGCCAUGCCGCGUGUGUGAAGAAGGCCUUAUGGUUGUAAAGCACUUUAAGCGAGGAGGAGGCUCUUUUGGUUAAUACCCAAGAUGAGUGGACGUUACUCGCAGAAUAAGCACCGGCUAACUCUGUGCCAGCCGCCGCAGUAA
This 503-nucleotide ribosomal RNA is filed under the name uncultured bacterium. RNAcentral describes it as "partial 16S ribosomal RNA". It matches the Rfam family "Bacterial small subunit ribosomal RNA", at positions 30 to 523 of the family's 1533-position model. The record is from RNAcentral.